AAAGCCACAGCCGGCUGGUCUGGUUUGCGUCGGGGGGAGGAAUCAGCAUUGGCUGGCAGGGAAAGGAGCUGUGAGCUGAGCUAACUUGGUGGCAGCCCUGCCCCGGGGGGGCCUCAGAGGCACCGGGAUCAUCGGGGCCAGUCCUCUGUCUCCGUCCAGGUGAAGUCCGGAGCAGGAUUCUGAGGCUUUCUGUCCUCCAUGCUGCUCACCAGAAAAGGGACUGUGAACUGUGCUUUGACGCUAGCUGACAGGAAGAAUUUCUGGCCCAGCUGGGAGUGAGAAGAGGGAGUGAGUCUCCUGAGAGCCAUCCUCGAGUCCGCCAGGAUCACCCGAACAGUAAGAAAUGCUCCUCCAUCCUUAAACACAGAGUGAAACCCUCCAGGCAGACGAUCUUUUCUUCUGAAAACCUCGAGAAGCAGCCAUCACAUUAGCUGGCACUUAGCGUAUACAAGCUGGGAACCCCCAGUACUGUGUUAUUUUUCUCAUGUCCUUCCUCCUCAGCUCCUUGAGGACAGGGCCAGAGCUGUGCCUCAUC
Molecule: non-coding RNA, 535 nt
Organism: Leptonychotes weddellii (Weddell seal)
Lineage: Eukaryota; Metazoa; Chordata; Mammalia; Carnivora; Phocidae
Source: RefSeq, a predicted model, not a curated record